Molecule: ribosomal RNA, 253 nt
Filed under: uncultured bacterium
Lineage: Bacteria
Description: partial 16S ribosomal RNA
Rfam family: Bacterial small subunit ribosomal RNA
Source: RNAcentral
UCCGUAGGUGGCAAGCGUUGUCCGGAUUUACUGGGCGUAAAGAGCGCGCAGGCGGCCAAGUCAGUCGAACGUGAAAGCCCCCGGCUCAACUGGGGAAGGACAUUCGAUACUGCUUGGCUCGAAGAUAGGAGAGGGAAGCGGAAUUUCAGGUGUAGUGGUGAAAUGCGUAGAUAUAUGAAGGAACACCAGUGGAGAAGGCGGCUUUCUGGCCUAUUCUUGACGCUGAGGCGCGAAAGCUAGGGGAGCGAACGGG